This is a long non-coding RNA of Salvelinus fontinalis (brook trout), 858 nucleotides long. RefSeq lists it as uncharacterized. The record is from RefSeq and is a predicted model, not a curated record. The transcript is spliced from 3 exons. NCBI's taxonomy places the organism in Eukaryota, Metazoa, Chordata, Actinopteri, Salmoniformes, Salmonidae.
AGAUCUCAGCCAUGUGUGGGCGUCAGGCUUGUAAGAGACAUGAAUUAUAUGUGAGAUUCAGUGAACAAGGCUGGAAGGACUGGGUAUUGGCUCCUACCUGUUAGUCUGCCUUCUACUGUGAUGGAGAAUGCCUCUACCCUCUGUGUUCCUGCAUGAACUCCACCACCCACACUAUGAUCCAACUAGUGGACAAUGUCCCAACACACCUCCAGGCGGUGUAAGGGCUAUUUUACCAAGAAGGAGAGUGACGGAGUGCUGCAUUAGAUAACCUGGCCUCCACAAUCCCCCGACCUCAACCAAAUUGAGAUGUUUUGAGAUGAGUAGGACCGCAGUGUAAAGGAAAAACAGCCAACAAGUGCUCAGCAUAUGUGUGAACUCCUUCAAGACUGUUGGAAAAGCAUUCCAGGUGAAGUUGGUUUAGAGAAUGCCAAGAGUGUGCAAAGCUGUCAUCAAGGUAUAGGGUGGCUAUUUGAAGAAUCUCAAAUAUAUGAUAUAUGUUUUGAUAUGUUUCACACUUUUUUGGUUACUACAUGAUUCCAUUUGUUAUUUCAUAGUUGUAUUCAACAAUGUAGAAAAUAGCAUUUUCUUCUUUGAUGCACCUUAUGUCUAAACUUCUUUACAGUGAAAUGAUCUUGAUUGGUGAUCUCAACUGGUGUUGGUUAAAGCUGGUGUCUGAUGAUUUAACAAUGUUUUGUAAUUCUAUGAAUCUUACCCAGUUGAUUAACUCACACACUCGCCUAAAUCUUAAAUGCUCAGAUGAUAUCAAAUCAAUCAGGGUAGAUUUAACAAAUGUUCCACAUAAAUAUUCUGCGAUUGGUGUUUUUGUAAUGAUUUAAGUGACCAUUGUGCUGUUGUUGC